This 478-nucleotide ribosomal RNA is filed under the name uncultured bacterium. RNAcentral's name for it is "partial 16S ribosomal RNA". It matches the Rfam family "Bacterial small subunit ribosomal RNA", at positions 28 to 523 of the family's 1533-position model. The record is from RNAcentral.
GACGAACGCUGGCGGCGUGCUUAACACAUGCAAGUCGAACGGUAAGGCCCUUCGGGGUACACGAGUGGCGAACGGGUGAGUAACACGUGGGUGAUCUGCCCUGCACUUCGGGAUAAGCCUGGGAAACUGGGUCUAAUACCGGAUAGGACCACUGCCUGCAUGGGUGGUGGUGGAAAGCUUUUGCGGUGUGGGAUGGGCCCGCGGCCUAUCAGCUUGUUGGUGGGGUGAUGGACUACCAAGGCGACGACGGGUAGCCGGCCUGAGAGGGUGACCGGCCACACUGGGACUGAGAUACGGCCCCGACUCCUACGGGAGGCAGCAGUGGGGAAUAUUGCACAAUGGGCGCAAGCCUGAUGCAGCGACGCCGCGUGAGGGAUGACGGCCUUCGGGUUGUAAACCUCUUUCAGCACCGACGAAGCGCAAGUGACGGUAGGUGCAGAAGAAGGACCGGCCAACUACGUGCCAGCCGCCGCAGUAA